Molecule: ribosomal RNA, 541 nt
Filed under: uncultured bacterium
Lineage: Bacteria
Description: bacterial SSU rRNA
Rfam family: Bacterial small subunit ribosomal RNA
Source: RNAcentral
CCUUACCUGGCCUUGACAUACUAAGAACUUUCCAGAGAUGGAUUGGUGCCUUCGGGAACUUAGAUACAGGUGCUGCAUGGCUGUCGUCAGCUCGUGUCGUGAGAUGUUGGGUUAAGUCCCGCAACGAGCGCAACCCUUUUCCUUAUUUGCCAGCGGGUUAAGCCGGGAACUUUAAGGGUACUGCCAGUGACAAACUGGAGGAAGGCGGGGACGACGUCAAGUCAUCAUGGCCCUUACGGCCAGGGCUACACACGUGCUACAAUGGUCGGUACAAAGGGUUGCUACCUCGCGAGAGGAUGCUAAUCUCAAAAAGCCGAUCGUAGUCCGGAUCGCAGUCUGCAACUCGACUGCGUGAAGUCGGAAUCGCUAGUAAUCGCGGAUCAGAAUGCCGCGGUGAAUACGUUCCCGGGCCUUGUACACACCGCCCGUCACACCAUGGGAGUUUGUUGCACCAGAAGUAGGUAGUCUAACCGCAAGGAGGACGCUUACCACGGUGUGGCCGAUGACUGGGGUGAAGUCGUAACAAGGUAAGCGUAGAUGA